Molecule: ribosomal RNA, 504 nt
Filed under: uncultured bacterium
Lineage: Bacteria
Description: bacterial SSU rRNA
Rfam family: Bacterial small subunit ribosomal RNA
Source: RNAcentral
GAUGAACGCUAGCGGGAGGCUUAAUACAUGCAAGUCGAGCGGCAAGGUCUUCGGACCCUAGAGCGGCGCACGGGUGAGUAACGCGUACGCAAUCUGCCCUUCAGUGAGGAAUAGCCCUGGGAAACUGGGAUUAAUACCUCAUAAUAUUAGAGUAUCGCAUGGUACUUUAAUUAAAGUUCUGGCGCUGAAGGAUGAGCGUGCGUCUGAUUAGCUAGUUGGUAGGGUAACGGCCUACCAAGGCUACGAUCAGUAGGGGGCGUGAGAGCGUGACCCCCCCANACGGGUACUGAGACACGGACCCGACUCCUACGGGAGGCAGCAGUAAGGAAUAUUGGGCAAUGGACGAAAGUCUGACCCAGCCACGCCGCGUGAAGGAUGACUGCCCUAUGGGUUGUAAACUUCUUUUGUAUGGGAAGAAAAUUCCGAACGUGUUCGGAGCUGACGGUACCAUAAGAAUAAGCAUCGGCUAACUCCGUGCCAGCAGACGCGGUAAAGUAGUCGUGU